GACGAACGCUGGCGGCGUGCUUAACACAUGCAAGUCGAACGGAAAGGCCCUGCUUUUGUGGGGUGCUCGAGUGGCGAACUGGUGAGUAACACGUGAGUAACCUGCCCUUGACUUUGGGAUAACUUCAGGAAACUUGGGCUAAUACCGGAUAGGAGCUCCUGCUGCAUGGUGGGGGUUGGAAAGUUUCGGCGGUUGGGGAUGGACUCGCGGCUUAUCAGCUUGUUGGUGGGGUAGUGGCUUACCAAGGCUGUGACGGGUAGCCGGCCUGAGAGGGUGACCGGCCACAGAGGGAGGGAGAGACAGCCCAGACAGCUACGGGAGGGAGGAGGGGGGAAGAUAGCACAAAGGGCGGAAGAAUGAGGCAGCAACGCCGGGUGCGGGAGGAAGGACGGCGGGAGGGAAAACGCUUUCGCCUGUGAGGGAGCGUAAGGAACGGAAAUGGGGAAAAAAGCACGGGUUAACUACGU
This 467-nucleotide ribosomal RNA is filed under the name uncultured bacterium. Its description in RNAcentral is "partial 16S ribosomal RNA". It matches the Rfam family "Bacterial small subunit ribosomal RNA", at positions 28 to 506 of the family's 1533-position model. The record is from RNAcentral.